CGUGUCCACACACAUGUGCUGGCAUGUCUGCACCUGGCUGGUGUGUACAUAUGGGUGUCCAUACCCACUCAUGACGCUGACGUGACCUGUGAGUGUCCACAUGUGUGAUUGUAUCUAACUGUGUGUGUGACCGUGUCCAUGUAUGUCCAUUGAUAUAUGCUCCCCCUCAUUCCCCUGUCUAACCCCAGCCCCCCACCUCGUCCCCCUUUGGCAGCACUGGGGAUAGGGGGCAGGGGUGCAGCCUGGUGGUAUUACCCGCCCCCUCCUGCCAGGUGACAACCUGGUCAACAAGCCAGACGAACGCGGCUUCACCCCCCUCAUCUGGGCCUCGGCUUUUGGAGAGAUCGAGACUGUUCGCUUCCUGCUGGAGUGGGGUGCCGACCCCCACAUCCUGGCCAAAGAGCGAGAGAGCGCCCUGUCGCUGGCCA
RNAcentral lists this small RNA (428 nucleotides) under Pongo abelii (Sumatran orangutan). Its description in RNAcentral is "retained intron". The record is from RNAcentral. Lineage: Eukaryota; Metazoa; Chordata; Mammalia; Primates; Hominidae.